RNAcentral lists this ribosomal RNA (253 nucleotides) under uncultured bacterium. Its description in RNAcentral is "partial 16S ribosomal RNA". It matches the Rfam family "Bacterial small subunit ribosomal RNA", at positions 524 to 776 of the family's 1533-position model. The record is from RNAcentral.
AACGUAGGAGACAAACGUUAUCCGGAGUUACUGGGCGUAAAGGGCGUGUAGGCGGUUUGUUAAGUCUGGCGUGAAAGCUCUCGGCUAAACCGGGAGAGGUCGUUGGAUACUGGCAAACUAGAGGAUGGUAGAGGCGUGUGGAAUUCCGGGUGUAGUGGUGAAAUGCGUAGAUAUCAAGUGGAACACCAGUGGCGAAGGCGAGUCUCUGGACAUUUCCUGACGCUGAGGCACGAAAGCCAGGGGAGCAAACGGG